AGUGAACGCUGGCGGUAGGCCUAACACAUGCGAGUCGAACGGCAGCACAGUAAGAGCUUGCUCUUACGGGUGGCGAGUGGCGGACGGGUGAGGAAUACAUCGGAAUCUACUUUUUCGUGGGGGAUAACGUAGGGAAACUUACGCUAAUACCGCAUACGACCUACGGGUGAAAGCAGGGGAUCUUCGGACCUUGCGCGAUUGAAUGAGCCGAUGUCGGAUUAGCUAGUUGGCGGGGUAAAGGCCCACCAAGGCGACGAUCCGUAGCUGGUCUGAGAGGAUGAUCAGCCACACUGGAACUGAGACACGGUCCAGACUCCUACGGGAGGCAGCAGUGGGGAAUAUUGGACAAUGGGCGCAAGCCUGAUCCAGCCAUACCGCGUGGGUGAGGAAGGCCUUCGGGUUGUAAAGCCCUUUUGUUGGGAAAGAAAAGCAGCAGGUUAAUACCCCGCUGUUCUGACGGUACCCAAAGAAUAAGCACCGGCUAACUUCGUG
Molecule: ribosomal RNA, 492 nt
Filed under: uncultured bacterium
Lineage: Bacteria
Description: partial 16S ribosomal RNA
Rfam family: Bacterial small subunit ribosomal RNA
Source: RNAcentral